Molecule: transfer-messenger RNA, 151 nt
Filed under: Actinomycetota bacterium
Lineage: Bacteria; Bacillati; Actinomycetota
Description: Actinobacteria bacterium partial transfer-messenger RNA
Rfam family: transfer-messenger RNA
About the family: Bacterial tmRNA, also known as 10Sa RNA or SsrA, is named for its dual tRNA and mRNA-like properties.
Source: RNAcentral
GGGGAUUAAUAGGGAAAUAAAACUGUAACUGAGUUCGUAAACUACUUGUGCAUGUGAGAGUUUGAACUGAGAAAACGAUAAUUGCACUACGCCCGUAGAAGACUUGGAUGAUAGCUAGAGGACCCGGGUUCAAUUCCCGGCACCUCCACUU